This 528-nucleotide long non-coding RNA is filed under the name Ficedula albicollis (Collared flycatcher). Its description in RNAcentral is "lncRNA (ENSFALG00000027020.1)". The record is from RNAcentral. Lineage: Eukaryota; Metazoa; Chordata; Aves; Passeriformes; Muscicapidae.
CUCUGCCUGUGAUUUCAGGUGCAAAAGGCAUUGUGCUUUUGCUCUACAAAGGCUUCUCUGAAGUUCCCAAUGACAUUUAGGCAGUGCUUGGAAUACUUGGAAAAACUGAGUACAAGAAACCUACGAAAUAAAGGCAUCUACUUUGCUACUACGGUGCUCCUUACUUUGAUUAAGAGGAGAAGAAUGGGAUCUCCUUGUUCAGUCAUUUUAGCAGGUCCGUGUUCCUUGGUGGUAGCGUGUCAUGUGCUUGCUGGGCAGAUCCUCUCCUGGUCCUGGACCCUGCAUGCUGGAGGUUACCUUGUACCUUACAACCAAGUUGAGGUGUUGAGGUCACUGUUGUUUCCUGCAUACAGACCCUCACAAAAAGCUCUCUCAGGACUUGCUCUUGUGAGGGUUCAGAAUCAUUCAGUAAAUGCACUCAGUACAGAAGAAGACCAGUCCCAGUUUGAUCAGCAAACUCAAGAGCAAGAAACACACAAACAUGAGAACAUGCUCUGUGUCUUCUCAGUGGAGGUGCAUCCAAUUUGA